GACCCGGGUGGGGCGGCGGCCACCGGGUUAGGUAGCCGGGCGCCGGGGGCGUGGAGGGCUGCAGAGUGGAGCCCAGGACAGCUGCGAUCCUGCUCGGGUUGCUUUCCUUCCUCCGUCGCCUUCUCCCUUUGCUCUGCGCUGGCCACACGGUGGGACGCCCGCGGCGACAGAAGUCUGGGCGCCCUUGUCUGAAACCUCCUGGCGAGCCUGACAAGCAGCCGCGGAGAGCAAGAUCCAUGUUCACUUAUUCCCUGGUCUAGGAGUGGAAUUUCUGGGACAUACGAUCCUUAUCCAUUAUGUUAUUACAAAUUGAAUAUAUUGAAUAUAGUUCACUGUGCUAUACAGGCUCAGCAGCCUGGACGCAGACGCAGCAGUGUGGAUGAUUGCAUUGAUCCAGACUUGGAAGUUGUGCGGCAGCCCAGACUGCUCUGUGCCAGGAUUCCUGGCGCCUCCAUGCUGGUCAGUGAGCCUGAAGAGGGCAGGGUCCAGCCUCAGGCCUCCAGCUCACUCUCCUCCCGGGAAGAAGACGCCUCUACUCCGAAGGCAGCCAGCAUGUAUCUCACUCGCAACAGUCGGCAGAUGGCCUCGGAUCCCUUCUGUUCUCAGGAAUCACAUUGGGACUAACCGCGCUGUGCAUUUUCCAUCGCUGGCAGCCAUCUCAACAGUGACGUCGGGCCUCGUUAUUAAUAGGGGAGGGACAGACCCAGAGAGAGGGGAAGUGGCUUGGGCUGAGUCACACAGCAAAGUUAGAACUGCCAGCUCCCAGCGACUAACCUCGCCCUGGGCUCUAGCCCACACACCUGGCGGCUCCGGAGACUUGCUCCUUUUUGGACUCUGGGCAACAAACUCCCUGGCUAACCAAGCGGGUCUGACUUGUCCUACAGAGCCAAUGAGGCAAAAGCUUCCUGAGAAUGUUAUAUUGUGAUCUUGCUGUUUCUACUGGUUGGCAAGAAACCGACUCCCCAUUCCUUUUCGAAUGACCUUGGACACAUCAUGGAAAGUCUCUGAACCCUCAGUUUUCCCUUCAGGAAAAUGCAGACAAGAAUUCUGGGUGCCUACCCCGCCCCCGCCCCGACAGACUGUGGACGAGCUAUAGGCUGAAGAUCGGGGUGCCCUUCUCCGAUCGGGUCUGCAUUUACAUGGGUGAACUUCAAACCUGGCUGAGCAUGGUAAUCACGUGAGUGGCCUUUAAAAAUACAAAUUCCUUAGCACUGAGAACCACAUCUAGUCGCUUAUGAUGGAGAACAAUGGACGAUAAGGUGAGAAAAAGAAUGUACAUAUGUAUGUGUGACUGGGUCACCUUGCUGUGCAGGAGAAGAUUGACAGAACACUGUAAACCAGCUAUAACGGAAAAAGAUCAUUAAAAAGACACUGACUUAAGAAGAUGUAGAUAAUGUGAAUUUUUAUCAAAUAAAGAAAUGGUAUGAAAAUUUUUUUCAAACAAACAAACAAAAGUAUAUAUAUAUAUAUACACAAGUUCCUUGGCCUUGACCAGCCUGGCUCACUUGGAUUUCUCCUCCUUUCUCCUGGCCACGUGGCCUCCAGCAUGAAGGGAACCCCCUUGGGGUGGUCUUUAACUUUUCCAUUUAAAUCCCCACCGACUCAGCUUAAAGAAACCUUCGCUAGGAGAUGGUCUCUCUCUGUCUCUCUCUCUUGGACUCACUGUUCCCCCAAUGUUGGCACUUCUCACAUGCUGCUUGUUAUUUUUACUUCACUGUUUCAAAUCUUUGCCUCUUGUUUCCCCCAAUGAGCUCCUGGAGGGUAAAAAACUGUGCCAUACCCUUCUCUUGCCGCACAAGCGCUGGCACUAUCAGGACCUAGUAUCUGUUCAAUAAAUAGUUAUUGAAUGGCAAA
This 1854-nucleotide long non-coding RNA is filed under the name Sus scrofa (pig). RNAcentral's name for it is "lncRNA (ENSSSCG00050029966.1)". The record is from RNAcentral. Lineage: Eukaryota; Metazoa; Chordata; Mammalia; Artiodactyla; Suidae.